This 89-nucleotide transfer RNA is filed under the name Cronartium comandrae C4. Its description in RNAcentral is "tRNA-Thr (CGT) (tRNA-Thr-CGT-11-1)". It matches the Rfam family "tRNA". Rfam says of the family: Transfer RNA (tRNA) molecules are approximately 80 nucleotides in length. Their secondary structure includes four short double-helical elements and three loops (D, anti-codon, and T loops). Further hydrogen bonds mediate the characteristic L-shaped molecular structure. tRNAs have two regions of fundamental functional importance: the anti-codon, which is responsible for specific mRNA codon recognition, and the 3' end, to which the tRNAs corresponding amino acid is attached (by aminoacyl-tRNA synthetases). tRNAs cope with the degeneracy of the genetic code in two manners: having more than one tRNA (with a specific anti-codon) for a particular amino acid; and 'wobble' base-pairing, i.e. permitting non-standard base-pairing at the 3rd anti-codon position. The record is from RNAcentral. Lineage: Eukaryota; Fungi; Basidiomycota; Pucciniomycetes; Pucciniales; Coleosporiaceae.
GGUCAGGUAGCCUAGUGGUUAAGGCAGCCCAUGCGUGUUGGGUCCAGAUCCAUUGGAUCUGGUUGCUGGUUUGAAUCCAGCCCCAACCA